This 64-nucleotide transfer RNA is filed under the name Cerambycidae sp. 8 KM-2017. RNAcentral's name for it is "tRNA-Leu". The record is from RNAcentral. Lineage: Eukaryota; Metazoa; Arthropoda; Insecta; Coleoptera; Cerambycidae.
GUUAUUUUGGCAGAGUAGUGCAAUUAAUUUAGAAUUAAUAAAUGUAAAAAAAUUACAAAUAACA